CCGCCCCGCCCGCCGCGCGCGGCGGGCGGGGCGGGGGCACGGGGGGUUAAGUCAGGCAACGAGCGAGACCCACGCCCACAGUUGCCAGCGUACUCUCCGGAGUGACGGGUACACUGUGGGGACCGCCUCUGCUAAAGCGGAGGAAGGAAUGGGCAACGGUAGGUCAGUAUGCCCCGAAUAUCCCGGGCUACACGCGGGCUACAAUGGUUGGUACAAUGGGUAUCUACCCCGAAAGGGGACGGGAAUCUCCUAAACCCAAUCUUAGUUCGGAUUGAGGGCUGCAACUCGCCCUCAUGAAGCUGGAAUCCGUAGUAAUCGCGUUUCAACAUAACGCGGUGAAUACGUCCCUGCUCCUUGCACAA
RNAcentral lists this ribosomal RNA (362 nucleotides) under uncultured methanogenic archaeon. RNAcentral's name for it is "bacterial SSU rRNA". It matches the Rfam family "Archaeal small subunit ribosomal RNA", at positions 1009 to 1343 of the family's 1478-position model. Lineage: Archaea; Methanobacteriati; Methanobacteriota. The record is from RNAcentral.